GUGCUUGCUUCGGCAGCAUAUAUACUACAAUUGGAACAAUACAGAGAAGAUUAGCAUAGUCCCUGCACAAGGGUGACAUGCAAAUUCGUGAAGCAUUCCAUAUAUUU
Small nuclear RNA from Neomonachus schauinslandi (Hawaiian monk seal), 107 nucleotides. The record is from RefSeq and is a predicted model, not a curated record. NCBI's taxonomy places the organism in Eukaryota, Metazoa, Chordata, Mammalia, Carnivora, Phocidae.